UGUAUUUAUAGAAAUUUUCAAGGCCUAAUUUUGAAUAUAAUAUUCAGAUGAAAUAAAUCAUUUUUGCCAGGUGUUGACAUGUGUCCUUAUUUGAUGAUUUUUCCAAUUUAUUUUGAUUUUUCGUUUAGCCACACGCUACGUGUAAAAUUUAUGUGACACAUGAGCAUUGAAAUUGUAAUUAUUGGUCAACAUUUAUUUCACCGAAAUUUUGAUGUCUAUAGUUUCAUUCACCCACUCACGGUCACGAGUAACCUCCCACAACCGUUUUCUCAAUUCCUUUUUUCCGCUUACUCCAAACGUGAAAAAACAAAACUAAAUCCAAACUCCCAGGACACAUCUGAGGCGUAACUCCAAUUUUUGGUUUCUGACGAAGUAAGGAAAAGAAAGAGAUAUGUUCCAUGAAAGUUUCAUAUCGAACUCGCACAAAGGUGCAUAGACAUGAUUGUUUU
RNAcentral lists this long non-coding RNA (449 nucleotides) under Malus domestica (apple). RNAcentral describes it as "long non-coding RNA (MDOM_LNC006525)". The record is from RNAcentral. Lineage: Eukaryota; Viridiplantae; Streptophyta; Magnoliopsida; Rosales; Rosaceae.